UUUGAUUUCCUUCGGGACUGAUUAUUUUGUGACUGAGUGGCGGACGGGUGAGUAACGCGUGGGUAACCUGCCUUUCAGAGGGGGACAACAGUUGGAAACGACUGCUAAUACCGCAUAAUACGAAUUUGUCGCAUGACAGAUUUGUCAAAGGAGCAAUCCGCUUAAAGAUGGGCUCAUAUCUGAUUAGGUAGUUGGAGAGGUAACGGCCCACCUAGCCGACGAUGGAUAGGGGUUCUGAGAGGAAGGUCCCCACAUUGGGACUGAGAUACGGUCCAGACUCC
RNAcentral lists this ribosomal RNA (281 nucleotides) under uncultured bacterium. RNAcentral's name for it is "partial 16S ribosomal RNA". The stretch from base 42 to 281 matches the Rfam family "Bacterial small subunit ribosomal RNA", at positions 100 to 339 of the family's 1533-position model. The record is from RNAcentral.